GAUGAACGCUGGCGGCGUGCCUAAUACAUGCAAGUAGAACGCUGAAGGAGGAGCUUGCUCUUCUGGAUGAGUUGCGAACGGGUGAGUAACGCGUAGGUAACCUGCCUGGUAGCGGGGGAUAACUAUUGGAAACGAUAGCUAAUACCGCAUAACAACAGUUAUUGCAUGAUAACUGUUUAAAAGGGGCAACUGCUCCACUACCAGAUGGACCUGCGUUGUAUUAGCUAGUUGGUGAGGUAACGGCUCACCAAGGCGACGAUACAUAGCCGACCUGAGAGGGUGAUCGGCCACACUGGGACUGAGACACGGCCCAGACUCCUACGGGAGGCAGCAGUAGGGAAUCUUCGGCAAUGGACGGAAGUCUGACCGAGCAACGCCGCGUGAGUGAAGAAGGUUUUCGGAUCGUAAAGCUCUGUUGUAAGAGAAGAACGAGUGUGAGAGUGGAAAGUUCACACUGUGACGGUAUCUUACCAGAAAGGGACGGCUAACUACGUG
RNAcentral lists this ribosomal RNA (495 nucleotides) under uncultured bacterium. RNAcentral describes it as "partial 16S ribosomal RNA". It matches the Rfam family "Bacterial small subunit ribosomal RNA", at positions 28 to 507 of the family's 1533-position model. The record is from RNAcentral.